GCUGUAAUGGGGUGAUAAAAGAAAGGCUCCGUUGCCUGAAGAAAAAGGAUAAUGUUAAUGAGGCAACAGCGAUUGAACAGGACUUUUAUUUUGAUCUAGUGGUGUGACGUCAUAAGGCUGCGCCGCGCUUCUGCGUCUGUUUCAGCUGAAGAGAGGUUAAGUGUCCAAACACACAGAAAAAGUGAGAUCCACACGACUCACUGUUAUAAAGAUGGUGUUUAUUAAAUAGGAGAGUGAAGAGAUGAAGAUAGAAGAAACAUUCAGAGUCAAACAUGAAGAUACUGAGACACACUGUUAUAAAGAUGGCGUUUAUUAAAGAGGAGAGUGAAGACGUAAAGAUUGAAGAAACAUUCAGAGUCAAACAUGAAGAUACUGAGGAACAAACAGACCUGAUGGUGCUGAAAGAGGAGAGUCAAGAACUGAUUGAAAUGGAAGAUAAAUAUCAAUAUAAGAAUCAACACGAUUUUACAACUGGAGAAACACCUUUGAGUUGCUCACAGACUGAAAUAAGUUCCUCAAGAAAAAUGGAUCAAAAGACAGGAAGUAGUAGUUAUUUCACCUGCCAACAGUGUGGAAAGUGUAUAAGUAAAAAAGGAGGUAUUAAAAGACAUAUGAGAACUCACAUAGGAGAGAAGCCUUAUGCCUGCCAACAGUGUGGAAAACAUUUCAGUAAAAAAGAAGCUAUUAAAACACACAUGAGA
Cyprinus carpio (common carp) is the source of this 701-nucleotide long non-coding RNA. RefSeq lists it as uncharacterized. NCBI's taxonomy places the organism in Eukaryota, Metazoa, Chordata, Actinopteri, Cypriniformes, Cyprinidae. The record is from RefSeq and is a predicted model, not a curated record. The transcript is spliced from 3 exons.